RNAcentral lists this ribosomal RNA (484 nucleotides) under uncultured bacterium. RNAcentral describes it as "partial 16S ribosomal RNA". It matches the Rfam family "Bacterial small subunit ribosomal RNA", at positions 29 to 507 of the family's 1533-position model. The record is from RNAcentral.
AUUGAACGCUGGCGGCAGGCCUAACACAUGCAAGUCGAGCGAACGAAGGGAGCUUGCUCCUGGAUUCAGCGGCGGACGGGUGGGUGAUGCAUAGGAAUCUGACUGGCAGAGGGGGAUGACGUCAGGACACGGGCGCUAAUACAGCAUACGUCCAGAGGGAGAACGGGGGGGAUCAUCGGAGAACGCGCGAUCAGAUGAGACUAGGUCGGAUUAGCUAGUUGGUGGGGUAAAGGCCUACCAAGGCGACGAUCCGUAACUGGGCUGAGAGGAUGAUCAGUCACACUGGAACUGAGACACGGUCCAGACUCCUACGGGAGGCAGCAGUGGGGAAUCUUCGGCAAUGGGCGAAAGCCUGACCCAGCCAUGCCGCGUGUGUGAAGAAGGUCUUCGGAUUGUAAAGCUCUUUAAUUUGGGAGGAAGGGCAGUAAGUUAAUACCUGGCUGUUUUGACGGUACCUACAGAAUAAGCACCGGCUAACUUCGUG